RNAcentral lists this ribosomal RNA (465 nucleotides) under uncultured bacterium. RNAcentral's name for it is "partial 16S ribosomal RNA". It matches the Rfam family "Bacterial small subunit ribosomal RNA", at positions 338 to 795 of the family's 1533-position model. The record is from RNAcentral.
CCUACGGGCGGCAGCAGUGGGGAAUAUUGCGCAAUGGGCGAAAGCCUGACGCAGCGACGCCGCGUGCGGGAUGAAGGUCUUCGGAUCGUAACCCUCUUUCAGCAGGGACGAACGGUCAGUGAGCUAAUCCGCAGUGAAUUGCCGGUACCUGCAAAGGAAGCACCGGCUAACUCCGUGCCAGCAGCCGCUGACAUACGGAGGGUGCGAGCGUUAAUCGGAAUUACUUGGCGUAAAGCGCUCGUAGGUGGUAGGUCAAGUCAAGGGUGAAAUCCCCGCGCUCAACGUGGGAACUGCCUUUGAAACUGGCAGACUGGAGUGUGUGAGAGGAUAGUGGAAUUCCAGGUGUAGGAGUGAAAUCCGUAGAUAUCUGGAGGAACAUCAGUGGCGAAGGCGACUAUCUGGCACAUAACUGACGCUGAGGAGCGAAAGCGUGGGUAGCAAACAGGAUUAGAUACCCGAGUAGUC